Long non-coding RNA from Fukomys damarensis (Damara mole-rat), 2286 nucleotides. The record is from Ensembl. Lineage: Eukaryota; Metazoa; Chordata; Mammalia; Rodentia; Bathyergidae.
GAGGGCUCCGUCCUGGGCUCCCCUCAAGUGUGGCCUUUCCGAAAGCUUGGAGUCGCCCCACUGAGGAGACGUUGAGGAGGUUCCCCUCCCACUCGUGACCACUUUGCCCUCUUUCUCGAGCACACAGAAGUGGAGGCUAAAUUGCCAUGUAGCGGGAACAUUAGAGAGCUCUGUGUUCCCUUAACCACACUCCUCUGGUUCCACCUUGGAGGGGCCGAGCUGGUCCACCACGGGGGGACCCUGGAUGCGUUGCGAGUCCCCAGUCAGUCUGGCUGUGUUUUAUCUGAACAAAACGUCUGACUUUAACCCCAGGCGGAUUUCUCUUCGGGUUGUAAUUAUUCCGGAACAAACAGAGAAAAUAGGAAGGUGCGUCCCCCUGGGAACGGUGCCUCCUGUAUGGAAGGGUUCCCACCGGAAAUCUUCAAAACGUGGUGUUCUUAUAUUGAUCCAGAUAAAUGCCUGCCGCCGUCCAGCUUCCCCUGUUACAUGUAGAUGAGUUCUCAAAACAAAACAGGGGCUAAAUGGAUGAAAAUAGAGAUUUCACUUCCAGAUUGGAAGCCAUUCCAUACAACUCUCGGAGAUCAAAUUACUCCUUGAAACCAGACCAGAGCAAAAUCCUAACUCUCUACACUGAGCACCUUAAAUCCCCUCCAUCUUCCUUGGGAAAAUGAAAAUCUGCACGCUCCAGUCACAGGAAUGAACUCUCACGUGACCGAUGUGCAGAGCAGUGCUGAAUGAAAAUGUCCACAUGUGGCCCCUCACUCUGGCCUGUACGUGGGAGCCCAACACUGCCUCUCUGAAGCCUCUCCACAUCCACCAGGGAAGGAAUGGCCUCCUCCCUUCUCUCCCAUGCUCGUGGUGCCUCCUAAAAUUCUGGCUGAAGUUGCUCACCCCAGCCAAGGUGAAGGUGAUAGCUUGUCACAGGAAUUCAGAGGCAAGCGUCUUCUCCCCUUCUAUGCCGUGUGUCUUACACCUCUUAUUUUUGAAAAGCCAAAUCACAGAAUAGGCGCGUGCUAACCGCGGGAAGCUGGCUGCAGCACAGGCCACCAGGCCUGAGUUUGUAACUGUAAUCUGUUAUGUAUUUAAAAGGAGUUUGUGUCUGAAAUUUUCUUCUCAGAGCAGAAGGCAUGCGGAGACCCCGGAGACCCUCUCAGACAGAGAACAUUUAUCAUACACAUGGACAAAGGGGGAUUUUUCAAAGAUUUAUGUUCUUGGGAAAUAUCUUUUAGCAAGGAAUUUCUUUUAUUGCUGGGGAAUGACGGGAAAUUGUGAAGGCAGUUGGGACCUGUUUUCAGGGUGGGCGGCAAGGAGCCCUGCCUGGGGUGUGUCCAUGGCUCACCUCUACCCCCAACUUGGGAAGCUCUCCCUUUCCCCAAGAGAUUUGGUGAGAAUCUCCCAUCUGCUUAGGGUCACUUUUGUGGUGGCUUAGUCACUUUCCUCAUUGCUAGGACACAAUACCUGAUGCCUACAACUUGAAGGAGGAAAGGUUUGUUUUGGCUCACACUUUCCAAGUCUCCAAGCUUGCAUGGUUGGCUGCUGGCUCCAGGCAAAAGCAGCAUGGCAGGCAGGAAGCAGAGAGAUCAACGGAGGAUCCAGGAAGGGACAGAUAACUUUCUAGGUCACACCUACGGUGACUACCUCUUCCCAUUAGACCCUGCUUCCUAACAGCAAAUCGCUAUGCCACCCCCAUAAUCCAGGCACCUUUCAAACACAUGAGGCUUUGGGGGCCAUUUUAGAUCUAAACGGUAGCAGGCAGCCAUUUUGAACAGACCCAAAGGCCUGCAGGUGAUAUUCAGAGCUUCAGCUGCUGUUACUUCUGGGUUACUGGCUUCCUCAUCUUGGAACCACCCAGGGACACGGACUUGGGAGAGCAGUAGGUUUAUUGGAAGCAACACGUGUGAAAGGAAAGGUGGGGGAAGUGGGAUAACUCAGAUCACCAGGAGACCUAAGAAAGUGCAGCCAGGCUCCGGCGGGGUUGGGGGGCACUAGGGUACAGAUAUCCCAUGAGGAGAAGAGCAGCUUGAAGCAGGCUGUCGAGGUGCUGAUUUCCCUCUCUCUCCUACCUUGAAUCUCAGCAGGAGGCAGUUUGGCCCCCAGGGAUCUUUGGCAAGAUCUGCAGUCAUUCCCGAUUGUCCGAACCAGGCAGGGUGCUAUUAGCUUCUAGUGAGUAGAGGUCAGAGGAUCCACUGAGCACCCCACAACUGACAAGAUGAUCCCCUCCCAGCAAAGUUCCGGCCCCAAAUGUCCACAGUGUUGAGGCCAAGGAAUCCUGCUCUGAUCCAGCCC